CCUCAGCGACGGACCGGGCCU
This 21-nucleotide non-coding RNA is filed under the name Arabidopsis thaliana (thale cress). Lineage: Eukaryota; Viridiplantae; Streptophyta; Magnoliopsida; Brassicales; Brassicaceae. The record is from RNAcentral.